RNAcentral lists this small RNA (342 nucleotides) under Histoplasma capsulatum. RNAcentral describes it as "hypothetical RNA". Lineage: Eukaryota; Fungi; Ascomycota; Eurotiomycetes; Onygenales; Ajellomycetaceae. The record is from RNAcentral. RNAcentral also lists the same sequence under 1 other name.
GCAAACGAAAAAGAUUCCGCUCUCGGGUUUCUUCGUCAUUUUUCUACAGGAACGAAAGUAGUCCUUCAACCAGACCAAGAAGAAUGGUCCGAGGCCUUCAUUUUUACCACUCCCUCUCCCUCUCCCUCUCCCUCUCCCUCUGUCUCCCUCUCUCUCUUUCCCUUCUCCUUUCCCAUGGUGAAGAGUUCAAUUUCCUUCUACAAUUGAUAUUUCUUUUAUGAAGGCCGGCUCUUUGUGUCUUCCCACGGCUCCCGCCAGGCAGUGCAGCAUUAUCCCCCUUGAAAUAAGCGUAAUGGAAGGGAAAAGCCUGUCAAAUAUAUAAAAUACACAACCUAUUCCCAA